AAGAACUUUGUGUUAGUCCAGAGCUACGGCCUUACAGGAUGGUUUUUCAUAGUGACCUUUUAUGGAAAUCCCUGACUGUCCUCUGACCUUAAUAGCAAAACCAGUGUUGUGUUCCGUGUACCCCUAGGAAAUUAGGAUGCAGCAGAUGUGGUAAGACAGGAGAAAUCUUGUGAGCAAAAAGCACUCAUCUGAUUCUGUCCCUUCACCAGUUGUUAGGAGAAGCUGAUGCCGAGAGGGCAGCUCCUUGGAUGAAGCAGAAACUCUCAAAAAAUAAGUGCUGUUAAAGUUCUGCCAUCUUUCUCUCAGAGAAAUCUACAAAGGACUGGCAAGGCAUGGCAGUGACAGUCCUCUGAAGAACUACAGUGGAGUUGCCAGGAUGCUGUGUGUUGCCUGCACGCAUGCUGCGGAGGGUACCAGAAUCUAUCAGAUUUGCUAUGUGUGUUCUCCAGCUCUGCAGAACAUAGGCUGGGAUUUCUGACUCCUGAAAACCUUGGACUUUUUGCGAUUCACACGGGCAAACGCAUGAAUUCUUCAAAUGCUUUGUGGACAAAAUAUUCAGCUGGAUAAAGAGGAGAAGCACGGCCAUCUAAGUCUGAGACUCGGGAGAUGCUGAACAGUCAAAAUUCUCACCAAUUUGACCGACAGACAGAGGAAAGCUGCCCUAGGAUCCGGCCCAAAGCAAAUAUUCUGGCAAGACCAGCGCUUCCCGAGAUAAUUUUAGAAGUUGUGCUGCCUGACAAGAAAUAAUAUGGGAAAAAAACAAUUUUAACAUGAUAAUACUUCGCGCAUAAAACUCAAGGUGGUUCUAUUUCCGACACAUUAAAUGAAUCGUACACCUCCCAGGAAGUGACCGUCAUCCCUAGAAAUGAAUUACACCGUAUUAUCCAA
Long non-coding RNA from Tyto alba (common barn owl), 888 nucleotides. RefSeq lists it as uncharacterized. Lineage: Eukaryota; Metazoa; Chordata; Aves; Strigiformes; Tytonidae. The transcript has 4 exons. The record is from RefSeq and is a predicted model, not a curated record.